GCYGCCCGCGACAUUGCGAGAAGUCCACUUGAACCUAUCAUUUAGAGGAAGGAAGAAGUCGUAACAAGGUUUCCGUAGGUGAACCUGCGGAAGGAUCAUUGUCGAAACCUGSUGAGCAGAACGACUSGCGAACACGUUGUUGCCCCUAUCUCGGCAAUGUGCAGGCCUUGUCCCAAAGCAUUGUCGAACACAACUAAUCAUCGAGCGCGGUAUGCGCCAAGGAAAAUCUAAAGAACAUAACCGUCCUUCGGGGAUGCGUUUGUUCCAUAAGUCAAAACGACUCUCGGCAACGGAUAUCUCGGCUCUCGCAUCGAUGAAGAACGUAGCGAAAUGCGAUACGUGGUGUGAAUUGCAGAAUUCCGUGAAUCAUCGAGUUUUUGAACGCAAGUUGCGCCCAAAGCCAUUUGGCUGAGGGCACGCCUGCCUGGGCGUCACGCAUCGUUGCCCUCCCUCAAUCCCAUCACUCACAAAACGGGCGAUGAGCUUGUUGGGCRGGCGUAAAUUGGCUUCCCGUUUGUCCGUCUUCCGGUUGGCCUAAAAUUGAAUUCAUUAGCUGCGACCGCCGUGGCACAUUGUGGUAUUCGAACAAAUCGUAACCCGCCACGCGCGUUUGUCAGCCUAAGGAACGGUACAAAACUCAAAUGUGUUAACCCUUUUUAGGGCGGCACACUUCAAACCCGACCCCAGGUCAGGCGGGAUUACCCGCUGAAUUUAAGCAUAUCAAUAAGCGGAGGAAAAGAAACUU
RNAcentral lists this ribosomal RNA (745 nucleotides) under Pilea ciliata. RNAcentral's name for it is "eukaryotic LSU rRNA". The stretch from base 279 to 434 matches the Rfam family "5.8S ribosomal RNA". The record is from RNAcentral. Lineage: Eukaryota; Viridiplantae; Streptophyta; Magnoliopsida; Rosales; Urticaceae.